Molecule: transfer RNA, 73 nt
Filed under: Fritziana fissilis (split-backed frog)
Lineage: Eukaryota; Metazoa; Chordata; Amphibia; Anura; Hemiphractidae
Description: tRNA-Leu
Source: RNAcentral
GUUAGUGUAGCAAAGUUUGGCAUUGCAGAAGGCCUAAGCCCUUCGUGUAGAGAUUCAAAUUCUCUCGCUAACU